RNAcentral lists this ribosomal RNA (452 nucleotides) under uncultured bacterium. Its description in RNAcentral is "bacterial SSU rRNA". It matches the Rfam family "Bacterial small subunit ribosomal RNA", at positions 29 to 524 of the family's 1533-position model. The record is from RNAcentral.
AACGAACGCUGGCGGCAGGCUUAACACAUGCAAGUCGAACGCUCGUAGCAAUACGGGAGUGGCGGACGGGUGAGUAACGCGUGGGAACGUGCCCUGAGGUACGGAAUAACUGAGGGAAACUUCAGCUAAUACCGUAUGAGCCCCGAGAGGGGGAAAGAUUUAUCGCCUUGGGAGCGGCCCGCGUCGGAUUAGCUAGUUGGUGGGGUAACGGCCUACCAAGGCUUCGAUCCGUAGCUGGUCUGAGAGGACGAUCAGCCACACUGGGACUGAGACACGGCCCAGACUCCUACGGGAGGCAGCAGUGGGGAAUCUUGCGCAAUGGGGGCAACCCUGACGCAGCCAUGCCGCGUGAACGAUGAAGGCCUUAGGGUUGUAAAGUUCUUUUACCCGUGACGAUGAUGACGGUAACGGGGAAUAAGCUCCGGCUAACUCGUGCCAGCAGCCGCGGUAAU